RNAcentral lists this ribosomal RNA (504 nucleotides) under uncultured bacterium. RNAcentral's name for it is "partial 16S ribosomal RNA". It matches the Rfam family "Bacterial small subunit ribosomal RNA", at positions 28 to 523 of the family's 1533-position model. The record is from RNAcentral.
GAUGUACGCUAGCGGCAGGCUUAAUACAUGCAAGUCGAGGGGCAGCAUGACUGUAGCAAUACAGUUGAUGGCGACCGGCAAACGGGUGCGGAACACGUACAGAACCUUCCUUCGAGCGGGGAAUAGCCCAGAGAAAUUUGGAUUAAUACCCCAUAGUAUAUUUGAAAGGCAUCUUUUAAAUAUUAAAGAUUUAUCACUUGAAGAUGGCUGUGCGGCUGAUUAGGUAGUUGGCGGGGUAACGGCCAACCAAGCCUGCGAUCAGUAACUGGUGUGAGAGCACUACCAGUCACACGGGCACUGAGACACGGGCCCGUCUCCUACGGGAGGCAGCAGUAAGGAAUAUUGGUCAAUGGACGAAAGUCUGAACCAGCCAUGCCGCGUGGAGGAUGAAGGUCCUCUGGAUUGUAAACUUCUUUUAUAUGGGACGAAAAAAGGCUUUUCUAAGUCGUCUGACGGUACCAUAUGAAUAAGCACCGGCUAACUCCGUGCCAGCAGCCGCAGUAA